Molecule: ribosomal RNA, 2775 nt
Filed under: Triticum aestivum (bread wheat)
Lineage: Eukaryota; Viridiplantae; Streptophyta; Magnoliopsida; Poales; Poaceae
Description: partial small subunit ribosomal RNA
Source: RNAcentral
AUGGAUCACUCGCCCGCCAAGUUCGUCCUGCUCCUCAUGGCGGCAGCGGCAACCUGGAGCAGCGUCUUCCCCGUCGCCGACGCGCGGUCGGCUCAUGCAGUCGCCGCGGGCUGCAUACCGCGCGAGCGGGACGCCCUGCUGGCCUUCAAGCAUGGCGUCAACGACACCGAGGACGACCUCGUGUCGUGGCACGAAGGAAACCAAGAUUGCUGCCGAUGGGAAGGCGUCACCUGCGACAACGCGACCGGCCAUGUCGUCGAGCUUGACCUGGGCUGGUGGACUUCUUUCUUGGUCGGCCAGAUAAGUCCUUCCUUACUUUCACCAGAGCAUCUGGAGAGCCUUGAUCUCGCCUACACAGGACUGUGUGACCAUGCGCAUCGUCUUCCAGAGUUGCUGGGUUCUUUCAAGAACCUGAGACAUGUCGAUCUCUCCGACACGCUUUGCCAUGGUGAAGCGCCUCCUCAGCUCGGCAACCUGUCGAAGCUGGAAUAUCUCGACCUCUCCGUCCCGGCUAUCACCCAAGAGAGGGACCUAAAAGACAUCUCAUGGUUAACCCGUCUACCUCUCUUGUCAUAUCUUGACUUGAGUUGUUUGGACCUCAGCUCAGUUGUUGAUUGGCCUCUUGUGGUGAGCAUGAUCCCCUCCUUGGAGUACCUCGACCUUUCUAACUGCUCACUUCCAAGUGCAGCCCGAUCCCUCCCACACCUAUACACCACAAAUCUUAAGUACCUUGACCUCUCCCGUAACUACUUUGGUCAUCCUGUUGCAUCCUGUUGGUUUUGGAACAUAACAAGCCUCGAGUACCUCCACCUCUCAAAUACCAAUCUCCAUGGCCCGUUGCCUGAUGCACUGGGAAAUAUGACCUCCCUCCAGUGGUUAGAUUUGAGCAACAUGGGUAACAGAACCACAAUGACAGUGGAGUUGGGAAACCUAUGUGAUUUGGGAACACUACGGCUUGACCGGAGUCUCUCCUCUGGAAACAUAACAGAGUUUCUGGAGAAAUUGCCAAAGUGUUGGUCCAACAGAUUGCAAGAAUUGACGUUGAAGAGCAACAAUAUGUUUGGAAAGCUGAUGAAUAGUAUGGGACAAUUAAACAACUUAACUAUGCUUGACCUUUCUCACAAUAACAUUACGGGAACUAUACCGAUAGGCAUUGAUAAGUGCUCUUAUUUAUGGCACUAUGACCUUUCUUACAACCAUCUUAUUGGAGCUAUACCCUCAUGGUUGGGGAAUUGCACUAGAUUGUGGUAUCUUUCUCUUUCCAACAACCUGCUCACUGGACAUAUACCGCAUGGUUUUGCGAGUUGCGCCGCGUUACUUACACUUGACAUUUCGGACAACCAUCUUAGUGGAGCAAUACCACCGGGGUUGGGGAAUUGCACUAAUUUGGGGCAACUUUAUCUUUCUAGUAACCAUCUUACUGGACAUGUGCCAUCCAAGAUCGGUAUGCUUGGUCAUUUGUUUGAUCUCGACCUUAGCAACAAUAAUCUUGAUGGCAUGAUCACAGAAGAACACCUGCUUGGUCUGAAGAACUUAGAGCACAUGGAUUUAUCACACAAUUCUUUCUCGGGACCUUUACCAUCACAUUUUGGAUCUCGAUUGUUAGUAGAACUGUCUUUAUCCUACAAUUACUUCAGUGGCCCUAUUCCUAAAUAUAUUUGUCAGUUAGAGUUCCUACUUGUCUUGGAAUUGUCAUACAACUCUCUAGAGGGAGAACUUCCUCGUUGUUCUCAUGAAUCUAGCUUGGUUUACCUCCUCUUGAGUAAUAACAACUUUUCCGGCAAGUUUCCAUCAUCAGCCCGAAACUACUCAAGAUUGGCUUUCCUAGAUCUUUCAAGGAAUAACUUCUAUGGAACAUUGCCGUCAUGGAUUGUAGAGUUGGUAAAUUUGAAAUAUCUGCAACUAAGCCACAACUUGUUACAUGGAGAUAUUCCAUCGACUGUCACAAAUCUGUAUUGCCUUCGUCAUUUGAAUUUAGCCAAAAAUAUUAUAUCUGGAGUUAUACCAUGCUCUUUGUCAAAAUUAACUGCAAUGACCCAAGCAAACUCAACGAAACAUGGGACACACAAGUCUUGCAGGUCCAACAACUAUGGAGUUAUGAAAAAUGAAGUUUUGCUUGUUGUAAUGAAGCGCCAAGAACUUAAGUAUGGUAUUAUUGGAUUUUUUGAUGUGCUGAGUAUUGACCUAUCACUCGACAAUUUAGUUGGUCGAAUUCCAGAGGAGUUAACUUCUCUCAAUGGACUGUUGAAUUUAAACUUAUCAUGGAAUCACUUGAGUGGACAAAUUCCUGCGGAGAUUGGGGCUAUGAAGUCAAUUGAGUCACUAGACCUCUCAAGGAACAACCUUUAUGAUGACAUCCCGGCAAGCUUGUCGAAUUUGACGUAUUUAAGCUCAUUGGACUUAUCAUAUAACAACUUUACUGGAAGAAUUCCCCUAGGCAAUCAACUUGACACAAUCUACUCCGAGAACCCGUCCAUAUACGCUGGUAACAUUGGCCUGUGUGGCCCUCCUCUCGAAAGAAAUUGCUCAGGAAACAAUGGUCUUGAGCAUGUGAAUCAACAAAAAAGUGAGAAGGUUUACGAGCUACUAUUAUCCUUUUACUUUGGACUUGGGUCUGGGUUUGUGGCUGGCCUUUGGGUCGUGUUUUGCACUCUACUAUUCAACAAAACAUGGAGAGUUUCCUAUUUUCGCCUCUUCGACAAGUUGUAUGACAACGCAUAUGUGUUUGUGGUUGUUAUUUGGAGGAUGAUAAAUUUCAAGGAAACUACAAGUUGA